UACGAAGGGGGCUAGCGUUGCUCGGAAUCACUGGGCGUAAAGCGCACGUAGGCGGAUUGUUAAGUCGGGGGUGAAAUCCUGGAGCUCAACUCCAGAACUGCCUUCGAUACUGACGAUCUCGAGUCCGGGAGAGGUGAGUGGAAUUGCGAGUGUAGAGGUGAAAUUCGUAGAUAUUCGCAAGAACACCAGUGGCGAAGGCGGCUCACUGGCCCGGAACUGACGCUGAGACGCGAAAGCGUGGGGAGCGAACCGG
This 253-nucleotide ribosomal RNA is filed under the name uncultured bacterium. Its description in RNAcentral is "partial 16S ribosomal RNA". It matches the Rfam family "Bacterial small subunit ribosomal RNA", at positions 524 to 776 of the family's 1533-position model. The record is from RNAcentral.